UUUACGUUUGUUCAAUAGUUUUUGCAUAAAGAUCAAGGGUAAAUUAUAGGAACAUUUUUUUAACCAGGAGGUGUCGAUUUUGGACUUUUUGGCGUCAUCAGGUCCCUCUUUGUGUUUUUGUUUGUGUGUUACUGUGUGUUACUUACUCAUAACCUAAAUUCGAUCAUGACCACUAGAUGGCAUCAUGUAUUUUUAUGUUUUGUUUUUAUACCAGCCGAUAGAGGGUUGAGGCGGAGGCAGGGAGACUCACGAAGAAAAGCAAAGUUCCCACUUCCUUCUUAUACGCCAAGCUGAGAGGGCAGCUUAGAAGGAGCUUUGAAUUAUCAAAGCUCCCUCUUAUUCGAAGCAAACCUCCAACAAUAAACCGGCUAGCUAUCCGAGAUAGCUGCUAUCCCUUGCGAAAAUUGUUAGUAGAAAUAUAUAUUUUUAGAACUUCCUAUUUAUUAUUAUAUCUAUUUAAUUCUAAUCUCAUAUCCCUUCUUGGUGUCAUCCACAACACCACAUAACUAAAUCAUCCAAGAUUUGAAGGGAAGGACAUACUUUGGAUAGGGUUUGCGCCAAUUUGUUGUGGGUUGGCUUUCGGAAAACAGAUUCGCUUUUGAAACACUUUUUAUCAGAUUUCCCCCUUCUGAAAACCACCAAUUCCGUCCGUCUCCGGAAUCCGUUGGAUGGAUAGUAAACCUUUUUUUUUUGUGUAAAACUCCUCCUCUUAGCGCUUCUACCGACAGCACGACCGGAAUUCAAAUUUGUUCGAUCUCGCACGGAAACCACAACAUACAGACAAUAAAUGUGCAUUGGUUUUUUAAACGUUGUCCUUGGGAGUUGUGGUAUUACCGUAGAAACUUCAGUAGAAACUUCAACUUAAGUUUCUACGGUAAUAUUAAUUAACAGCUCCUAAUUUUGAAUAGGAGCUGCUGGCGCCAGAUUGUUAUCGAGGACUUAGAGAAAAAGUGAGGAACACAAAAAGAAAGUAUUUGAUGAGAGGGGAUUAGGGGGAAUGUUUUUUCUUGAAAUUGUGAAAUGUCAUUCUAGCUUCUGACGUUUUGAUCCAGUUGGCUCCGCGCCCUCCUCGCUCAGUCUUUUGACCUGGCGGCCUUCAUCCUCUAAAAUUCCAAUAGAUAAAAAUUAGUUUUUUAACAAUUAUUAUUUAAAUGGAAAAUUUACCUUCAAGCAAAUUAACGUCUUCAUCCAUUGUCAGAUCUAUCGUUGACGCUGAAAAGCAAAAAAAAAAAAACAUUUUAUGUAUUAAAAAUUUUUAAACUAAUCAUUUUUGAAUUUCUUACCAGCAAAAGAUCUUUCCAGCUCGGCUAUGCUAUCAUCAUCAUUUACCUCCUCAGCAACAACAUCGUCACGUGGAAUCCACUUCCACUCUCCCCACUCUUCUCCAUUUCAUCGUUUUCAUCUGUAAAGGCUACCCUCAUCAUUCUUACCUGAUGAAUUUUCAGCAGGUUCUUCGCCUGAAUCAUCACUACCACUCUCCCCAGUCUCCUCCAUUUCCUCGUUUUCAUCUGUAAAGGUAUGAAUUAGUUUUUUAAAUUAAAGCUAUAACAAUUUUAGUUACCAAUGCUGUCUAAGUAUUCCAAAUCAAUAAGUUGGGGUUGAUCUACCUCGUAGUCCAUAUGAUCUCCAUCGUCUCCAGGGUAGUCAUAGUUCAAAAUUUGCGCGAAUACCUGUUUCCGAUUCAUCCACGGUUCUGUGUCUGGUGACAGUUAAAAAAUAAGAACCUGGCAAC
This 1732-nucleotide long non-coding RNA is filed under the name Daphnia pulex (common water flea). Its description in RNAcentral is "uncharacterized LOC124207570". Lineage: Eukaryota; Metazoa; Arthropoda; Branchiopoda; Diplostraca; Daphniidae. The record is from RNAcentral.